This is a ribosomal RNA of 315 nucleotides. It matches the Rfam family "Bacterial large subunit ribosomal RNA", at positions 2604 to 2925 of the family's 2925-position model.
GCUGGGUUCAGAACGUCGUGAGACAGUUCGGUCCCUAUCUUCCGUGGGCGUAGGAAAGUUGAAGAGAUUUGUCCCUAGUACGAGAGGACCGGGAUGAACCAACCACUGGUGUACCAAUUGUUCUGCCAAGAGCAUCGUUGGGUAGCUACGUUGGGAUGUGAUAAGAGCUGAAAGCAUCUAAGCUCGAAGCCAACUCUAAGAUGAACUUUCCCUGAAGUUCCCAGCAAGACUAGCUGGUUGAUAGGCUGGGUGUGUAAUGGGUGUAAGCCCUUUAGCUGACCAGUACUAAUAGAACGUUUGGCUUAUUUUAACAAA